AGUACGGCGAGCGAACCGGAAAGAGCCCAGCUUGAAAAUCGCGGUGCCUUGGGCACCUCGAAUUGUGGUCUGGAGAAGGUCCCUCUGCGCCGCGCCGGACCCAAGUUCCCUGGAAAGGGACGUCGGAGAGGGUGACAACCCCGUCGAGUCCGGGCCGCGUCGCUCCACGAGGACCUGUCUGCGAGUCGGGCUGUUUGGGAAUGCAGCCCUAAGUGGGUGGUAAAUUCCAUCCAAGGCUAAAUAUUGGCAAGAGACCGAUAGCGAACAAGUACCGCGAGGGAAAGAUGAAAAGGACUUUGAAAAGAGAGUUAAAAAGUGCUUGAAAUUGCUGGGAGGGAAGCGAAUGGAAGCUGCGGGUGCGCCCCGGUUGGAUGCGGAACGGCUGCGGCUGGUCCGCCGCUCAACGCGGGGUGCUGGUCAGCGUGGGCCGUCGCGGCGGGACAAGAGCGGGGAUUCGCUUCCCGCCUAUGCCGCCGCGGUGGCCGAGGGAACUUGAAGCGCGCGCCCUUAGGCGUGGGGGCCACGUGUCCCCAACUGCGCGCUCGGGACGCUGGCGUAUUGAGCUCUUCAUCCGACCCGUCUUGAAACACGGACCAAGGAGUCUAACAUGUAUGCGAGCCGGUGGGCGGCAAACCCAUUUAUUAUCGAGGCGCAAGUAACCUGACAGGUGGGACCCCUUUAUCGGGAGCACCAUCGACCGACCGUGAUCUUCUGUGAAGGGUUC
RNAcentral lists this ribosomal RNA (724 nucleotides) under Macrocoma tenuis. RNAcentral describes it as "partial 26S ribosomal RNA". It matches the Rfam family "Eukaryotic large subunit ribosomal RNA", at positions 82 to 791 of the family's 3401-position model. The record is from RNAcentral. Lineage: Eukaryota; Viridiplantae; Streptophyta; Bryopsida; Orthotrichales; Orthotrichaceae.